Molecule: ribosomal RNA, 94 nt
Filed under: Yersinia pestis
Lineage: Bacteria; Pseudomonadati; Pseudomonadota; Gammaproteobacteria; Enterobacterales; Yersiniaceae
Also listed under: 1 other name
Source: RNAcentral
CCUGGCGGCCAUAGCGCGGUGGUCCCACCUGAUCCCAUGCCGAACUCAGAAGUGAAACGCCGUAGCGCCGAUGGUAGUGUGGGGUCUCCCCAUG